This 425-nucleotide ribosomal RNA is filed under the name uncultured bacterium. RNAcentral describes it as "partial 16S ribosomal RNA". It matches the Rfam family "Bacterial small subunit ribosomal RNA", at positions 354 to 796 of the family's 1533-position model. The record is from RNAcentral.
GUGGGGAAUAUUGGACAAUGGGCGCAAGCCUGAUCCAGCCAUGCCGCGUGAACGAUGAAGGCCUUCGGGUUGUAAAGUUCUUUAGCCGAUGAUUAUAAUGACUGUAGUCGGAAAAUAAGCCCCGGCUAACUUCGUGCCAGCAGCCGCGGUAAUACGAAGGGGGCGAGCGUUAUUCGGAAUCACUGGGCGUAAAGCGUGCGUAGGCGGUCUCGUAAGUUAGGUGUGAGAGCCCAGGGCUCAACCUUGGAAUUGCUCUUAAUACUGCAAGGCUAGAAACUCGGAGAGGAUAGCGGAAUUUCCAGUGUAGCAGUGAAAUGCGUAGAUAUUGGAAGGAACACCAGUGGCGUAAGCGGCUAUCUGGACGAGUAUUGACGCUGAGGCACGAAAGCGUGGGGAUCAAACAGGAUUAGAAACCCUGGUAGUCC